Molecule: ribosomal RNA, 566 nt
Filed under: uncultured bacterium
Lineage: Bacteria
Description: partial 16S ribosomal RNA
Rfam family: Bacterial small subunit ribosomal RNA
Source: RNAcentral
GUUGGGGAAUUUGGACAAUGGGCGAAAGCCUGAUCCAGCAAUGCCGCGUGUGUGAAGAAGGCCUUCGGGUUGUAAAGCACUUUUGUCCGGAAAGAAAUCCUUGGCUCUAAUACAGUCGGGGGAUGACGGUACCGGAAGAAUAAGCACCGGCUAACUACGUGCCAGCAGCCGCGGUAAUACGUAGGGUGCAAGCGUUAAUCGGAAUUACUGGGCGUAAAGCGUGCGCAGGCGGUUUGCUAAGACCGAUGUGAAAUCCCCGGGCUCAACCUGGGAACUGCAUUGGUGACUGGCAGGCUAGAGUAUGGCAGAGGGGGGUAGAAUUCCACGUGUAGCAGUGAAAUGCGUAGAGAUGUGGAGGAAUACCGAUGGCGAAGGCAGCCCCCUGGGCCAAGUACUGACGCUCAUGCACGAAAGCGUGGGGGAGCAAACAGGAUUAGAUACCCUGGUAGUCCACGCCCCUAAAACGAUGUCAACUAGUUGUUGGGGGAUUUCAUUUUCCUUAGUAACGUAGCUAACGCGUGAAGUUGACCGCCUGGGGAGUACGGUCGCAAGAUUAAAACUCAAAU